AUUUAAAUAGUUUAAUUAAAAAUUUUGAUUUGUGGAGUCAAGGAUAUAAAUAUGUUAUUUUAAAUA
This 66-nucleotide transfer RNA is filed under the name Vesperus conicicollis. Its description in RNAcentral is "tRNA-His". The record is from RNAcentral. Lineage: Eukaryota; Metazoa; Arthropoda; Insecta; Coleoptera; Cerambycidae. RNAcentral also lists the same sequence under 1 other name.